UGGCUAGGUCGUGGUGCUACAUCAUCGGGCCGACAAAAUAUGGCCCAAUAGAUGGAGUUGAGUUAUUUUUUUCUUGGGUAUAAAAUAGUUGAUUCUCAUUUGAGCAAUAGUAACAAUAAGGCAACAAAAUAAGGAUGGGAGCAAACAUCAUGAUGAGGAUGGGAUAUCAGCCAGCCAUAAAUAAUUGUGACAGUAGUUGAUGGU
RNAcentral lists this long non-coding RNA (204 nucleotides) under Elaeis guineensis (African oil palm). RNAcentral's name for it is "long non-coding RNA (EGUI_LNC014391)". Lineage: Eukaryota; Viridiplantae; Streptophyta; Magnoliopsida; Arecales; Arecaceae. The record is from RNAcentral.